GACGAACGCUGGCGGUGUGCUUAAUACAUGCAAGUCGAACGGCUCUUCGGAGCAGUGGCGGACGGCUGAGUAACGCGUAGGUAACGUGCCUCUUACUGGGGGAUAACAUCGGGAAAAUGGUGCUAAUACCGCAUAAGUUACGAGUCGAAAUACUUGUGAUUAAAGAAUUUCGGUAAGAGAUCGGCCUGCGUCUGAUUAGCUAGUUGGUAGGGUAAUGGCCUACCAAGGCGAUGAUCAGGAGUUGGUCUGAGAGGAUGACCAGCCAGAGUGGGACUGAGAACGGCCCACACUUCUACGGAAGGCAGCAGUAGGGAAUUUUGCGCAAUGGGCGAAAGCCUGACGCAGCAACACCGCGUGCGGGAUGAAGGCCUUCGGGUCGUAAACCGCUGUCGGCAGGGAAUAAAUUGACUGUACCUGCAAAGGAAGCACCGGCUAACUACGUGCCAGCAGCCGCGGUAA
Molecule: ribosomal RNA, 459 nt
Filed under: uncultured bacterium
Lineage: Bacteria
Description: partial 16S ribosomal RNA
Rfam family: Bacterial small subunit ribosomal RNA
Source: RNAcentral